This 1000-nucleotide ribosomal RNA is filed under the name Salmonella enterica. RNAcentral describes it as "bacterial SSU rRNA". It matches the Rfam family "Bacterial small subunit ribosomal RNA", at positions 108 to 1104 of the family's 1533-position model. RNAcentral also lists the same sequence under 1 other name. The record is from RNAcentral. Lineage: Bacteria; Pseudomonadati; Pseudomonadota; Gammaproteobacteria; Enterobacterales; Enterobacteriaceae.
GAGUAAUGUCUGGGAAACUGCCUGAUGGAGGGGGAUAACUACUGGAAACGGUGGCUAAUACCGCAUAACGUCGCAAGACCAAAGAGGGGGACCUUCGGGCCUCUUGCCAUCAGAUGUGCCCAGAUGGGAUUAGCUAGUUGGUGAGGUAACGGCUCACCAAGGCGACGAUCCCUAGCUGGUCUGAGAGGAUGACCAGCCACACUGGAACUGAGACACGGUCCAGACUCCUACGGGAGGCAGCAGUGGGGAAUAUUGCACAAUGGGCGCAAGCCUGAUGCAGCCAUGCCGCGUGUAUGAAGAAGGCCUUCGGGUUGUAAAGUACUUUCAGCGGGGAGGAAGGUGUUGUGGUUAAUAACCACAGCAAUUGACGUUACCCGCAGAAGAAGCACCGGCUAACUCCGUGCCAGCAGCCGCGGUAAUACGGAGGGUGCAAGCGUUAAUCGGAAUUACUGGGCGUAAAGCGCACGCAGGCGGUCUGUCAAGUCGGAUGUGAAAUCCCCGGGCUCAACCUGGGAACUGCAUUCGAAACUGGCAGGCUUGAGUCUUGUAGAGGGGGGUAGAAUUCCAGGUGUAGCGGUGAAAUGCGUAGAGAUCUGGAGGAAUACCGGUGGCGAAGGCGGCCCCCUGGACAAAGACUGACGCUCAGGUGCGAAAGCGUGGGGAGCAAACAGGAUUAGAUACCCUGGUAGUCCACGCCGUAAACGAUGUCUACUUGGAGGUUGUGCCCUUGAGGCGUGGCUUCCGGAGCUAACGCGUUAAGUAGACCGCCUGGGGAGUACGGCCGCAAGGUUAAAACUCAAAUGAAUUGACGGGGGCCCGCACAAGCGGUGGAGCAUGUGGUUUAAUUCGAUGCAACGCGAAGAACCUUACCUGGUCUUGACAUCCACAGAACUUUCCAGAGAUGGAUUGGUGCCUUCGGGAACUGUGAGACAGGUGCUGCAUGGCUGUCGUCAGCUCGUGUUGUGAAAUGUUGGGUUAAGUCCCGCAACGAGCGCAACCC